RNAcentral lists this long non-coding RNA (221 nucleotides) under Panax ginseng (ginseng). RNAcentral's name for it is "long non-coding RNA (PGIN_LNC013790)". Lineage: Eukaryota; Viridiplantae; Streptophyta; Magnoliopsida; Apiales; Araliaceae. The record is from RNAcentral.
UUCUAGAUGAAUUCUUCGAUUUAGUAGCCCUAGCCCAUCUUCCCGUGCUUGUAUUUCGGAUGCUCAUUCUCGGUCCAGCGAAGUCUCCUCUCCAGACACCCUAGCCUUCUUACGAGUCUGCCAUUUACGUUUAGCCUUCAACGCCAUCUCCAAAGUGAUUGACGAAAGCCCCGGAACAGGUUAAUAAAGCUGGGAAUUUCCGCUUAAACCCCGAGAGUUGA